Suricata suricatta (meerkat) is the source of this 2653-nucleotide long non-coding RNA. RefSeq lists it as uncharacterized. The transcript is spliced from 2 exons. Lineage: Eukaryota; Metazoa; Chordata; Mammalia; Carnivora; Herpestidae. The record is from RefSeq and is a predicted model, not a curated record.
UUUUAACCAUUCGUGAGCGAGUUGAGUAAAGGCGUACGGGUCGGGAGACGGGACAGAGAGAAGAUGGGACGGGCUCCUUCCUCGGGAAGACGACGCUGGAUGAUCAAAUCCACCAAUCUGCGAAGAGCAAUCCCCCAAACUUUGCUCCCCCACCACCACCAAGAAGGAGCCAAUCAGAAGUACCUAGACAAAAGCCAGUGGGUGGGCGGGGGAAGUCCAGCCAAUACCAAAAAGAAGAAAGGAGGAAUCCGCCAAUCAUUACUGGAAAUGCAGAGUACCCUUCAGGAGCAGUCCCCUCCUUCCGCUCUCAUUGGCGUUCGAGUGCGCGCUUUCAGUGUCGACUGUUAAAUGUCGCUCCGCGUCUUGUGAAUCCUCGACGGUGGGACGCCUCCGCGGGUGCGGUUUCCGGAAUGAGGCCCUCACAAUAAGUCCCGCCCCCCUUUCUUGCGUACGCACUCGGGCGGGGUUACUAAGGAGACGAACUUCGGAAAAUGGCUGACCGGCUUGCUUGGUGCUCGGCGCCUGGGCUUUCUGAUAGGAAUUGCAGCCCCAGCCCUGGGACUAUCUAACAGAAACAAGCGCUGUCAUGGAUAACAGCAAAUUCUCAACCGUAUACGGUAGCGCUGAGGCUCUUUCCUCAGCCCUUCCACGCCUCGUUUUCUCCCGUUUACUCCUUUCCUCUCUCGACCAGACAGGGAAAUGAAAAGAGCACUUUAAGGCCCAGCUCUGGCUGCGGGAGCUGGAAAAGGUUUCUGCGUGAGCCCUUACUUGCUAUGGGCUCAAAUGCGGCGAGCCAGGCCUUACCUGGUUUUUGCUUCCUUUUGUUGGUAUGCUUACCUCAGUGAGGUGACCUCAUAAAGCAAGUGAUGCAGUUAAGCAGGAUAAGUUCAGUCCAAAUUCAUUUAAUCAAGCUUGUUUUUAGGUGCCAACGAAGUUACAAGGCAUUUUUCUAGGUGUCAGGGACUGCGUGAAUGAAACACAUUCCCUGCUCGAAAGGAGCUUUACGUUCCGGAGAGGAGCAGGAGUUAAAAUGAUAGGAUAUAAUGAGUGAUAGAGAAAGGAGAUAAAGAAUGGGCAGUUUUUGAUACAAUAAUCCGGAAAGACCUCUUUGAGUUGACAUUUGAGCAGAAAGCUGAAAGUGGAGUGAGCCUUGCAGGAAUCUGGGGAAGAAUGGUACAGGAAUGAGUCCCAAAGUCUUCACAGAACUGGCCACCAAGGGAAAGAUGACACUUUUAUGAUCAGGAAAUGAAGACUCCUGAACUACCUUGCUCCUGCAAUACCGAGGACCCCCGACCAUCAGAAAGCUGCCAACUCCAGAAUUACACUGUGACCUGCUCUUGCACACUACACAUGUUCAGCUCUCAGUGUUAGAGCCCACAGUUCUAGUGGCUAGAUGCUGACACCUCUGCUAAUGCUGCUCUAGAAAUCCCAAAACCUCCGUGACUGUGCUGGUCAAUAGCAGGAGUGGAAGCCCAUGGAUGAAUAUCAGGCUUGGUGCAGCUGGCAGUAAUUUGUGCACAACUGUAACAGCUCUUUGAUCCUUUUCCUUUCACCCAGUACUAUGUGAGAGAGAUUACAGCUGUAGUUCUUGGCAAGAUACAAUUUUUAAGCCCAAAGAUUCUUAUUUUCUGGCUUCCAUGUGCAAUGCAACUACUUCACUCUUAAUGACCACUACCUUGGGGGCAUCUGAAACAAUGGGAUUCAACAGGUUGACAGCAUUCUUAGUCCCAUUUUUGUAGGCCUUGUAUGGCGGAACAGCAGGCACAUUUCCUUCCAAGGCUUUUAUUCACAGGCAGUUUCUGUGUGCUUUUUGUAUAAAAAUGAUUGUUUUUGUUUCAGCCCGUCCAAAUUAUUGAACUCUUAAUCCACUUAGAUUAUAGACAGAGUUUCCCUGUUAGGAAAGCUGAAUACCUUUCCAUCCCUACCUGCAGAUAGACUAGCUCUGACCUGAUUUAAUCUCGCAAAGAACUUUGCUAAAACUGGCAAAAAUUUAAAGCCAGUAAAUACCAAGAUCUAUACAUUUUUCCAAUUAUUUCCCUUCAUGCCACAAACAUCUUGCAACUGGACAGUGUCACUAGUUUUCCAUGUUGCAGUAUCUGAAUCUUUACCACAUGUUGCCUGAAUGCUUCUACUAAGGCAACAGUGUUUAUUUAAGGUCAAGUUGUGUGCUGUACGAAGCUGAUAAAGAUCACAUUCUGCACCAGAGAGGAAUAGGUUAAUCUAUGAAAAAUGGAAUAUGUUUUCAAGUGUCCUCAGCCAAGAUGAACAUUUAUUUCUUUAUCACAUAAACAGAGUGCAGAGGUAGGUAGUGGUGAUUCCAUGACCAUCAGGGACCUAACUCUCCAUUUUCAACAUUUGGCUUCUACCUUCUGGUCCAGAUGACUACUUAAGUUAUACCCAUCAUGUCUACAUUCUAAUAAGCAGAAAAGAGAAAAGGGGAAAGAUGACCAUGCUCCUCCCUUGACAGUACUUCCUGGAAGUUGUACACACCACUCCUGCUUGUAAUGCGUGGGCCAGAACUAACUUUAUUCUCCAUGUCUAUUAUGUCCAAUAAGGGGUCAUAAGAUCAAGGAAGAAGUAUCCAAUUGAUACUGGAGGACAAAUAUUCUCUGCUAUGCUUCUCCUUUCCUGGUUAAAUAAAAGAUUUCCCCGA